GCUCUUCGGAACUUGACUUAGUGGCGAACGGGUGAGUAACGCGUGAGGAACCUGCCUUUCAGUGGGGGACAACAGUUGGAAACGACUGCUAAUACCGCAUGACACUUUUGGGAGACAUCUCCUGGAAGUCAAAGCUUUAUGUGCUGAAAGAUGGCCUCGCGUCUGAUUAGCUAGUUGGUGAGGUAACGGCUCACCAAGGCGACGAUCAGUAGCCGGUCUGAGAGGAUGAACGGCCACAUUGGGACUGAGAUACGGCCCAGACUCCUACGGGAGGCAGCAGUGGGGAAUAUUGGGCAAUGGGGGAAACCCUGACCCAGCAACGCCGCGUGAAGGAAGAAGGCCUUCGGGUUGUAAACUUCUUUUACCAGGGACGAAGGACGUGACGGUACCUGGAGAAAAAGCAACGGCUAACUACGUGCCAGCAGCCGCGGUAAUACGUAGGUUGCAAGCGUUGUCCGGAUUUACUGGGUGUAAAGGGCGCGUAGGCGGAGAUGCAAGUUGGGAGUGAAAUCCAUGGGCUCAACCCAUGAACUGCUCUCAAAACUGUAUCCCUUGAGUAUCGGAGAGGCAAGCGGAAUUCCUAGUGUAGCGGUGAAAUGCGUAGAUAUUAGGAGGAACACCAGUGGCGAAGGCGGCUUGCUGGACGACAACUGACGCUGAGGCGCGAAAGCGUGGGGAGCAAACAGGAUUAGAUACCCUGGUAGUCCACGCUGUAAACGAUGAAUACUAGGUGUGGGAGGACUGACCCCUUCCGUGCCGCAGUUAACACAAUAAGUAUUC
This 780-nucleotide ribosomal RNA is filed under the name uncultured bacterium. Its description in RNAcentral is "bacterial SSU rRNA". It matches the Rfam family "Bacterial small subunit ribosomal RNA", at positions 75 to 869 of the family's 1533-position model. The record is from RNAcentral.